This is a long non-coding RNA of Mauremys reevesii (Reeves's turtle), 1233 nucleotides long. RefSeq lists it as uncharacterized. Lineage: Eukaryota; Metazoa; Chordata; Testudines; Geoemydidae. The transcript is spliced from 4 exons. The record is from RefSeq and is a predicted model, not a curated record.
UCCAUGCAGCUGAGUAGGGUAGUAAGAGUUUUAGGGGGGUUAGUUAGCAUGUAGGCUCCUUGAGCUAUUAAGUAGGGAAUCUAGCAAAAGGGCUUUCCCUUUUUCACUCCCAAGUUUCCUGUGAGUUUUCUGUGUAGCACUGAUCCAGGAUUAGGAGUUCUUUCUGCCUCUGCUUUUAUUAUUCCAAAUCCUCCAUGGAGAGACUCCUGUCUGUUGCUGUAUAGUCUUAUGAUCGGAGAAACAGAGGUACUAGGAACUGAAUAGCUGUGAGGAUUAGUAAUGGGACUUUGAGCCUUAUUUCUUCAGUUUGCUGGUCUGAGUUAUGCCCCAGUGUUUCCUCUUUACUGGAAGGGCUGCUUAGCUGAAGCAACAAGAUGUCCACCCCAGCAGCUCCAUCUACAAGCACUGUCCUAUGCAGAUUUACAAACAAGUAAUUGCUAAUGAAGACCAACAGAAUAGCCUGGGGAAACAGCUACUGGGCAUCUUACUCCUCUUGCAUUUUGUUUCCUUCUGUGAAAGAGAGUUGGGAGACAGCCAUUGAGAUCUCACUUGUGCUGGUUCAUCGGUUCCUCUUCCAACCUGGCUACAGCACGAAGCAGAUUCAGAUACUGACUUCCAUGGUGGUGAAGCUAGUCCAGAGAAGAGAUCUUUCCCAACACUCUAUUCAGAAACAAGCCUGCCCUCCCUCCCCUCCGGCAUUGAUGGAAAGCAGAUCCUCAAUGUGUUGCGUGGUAGCUUCUGAAAAACUCAUACAAAAUGCAGCUUUAGGAUGAAAUUUCUUUUAUGGCAGAAGGGUGGGAUGAUAAGUGAAGUACUAAGUGCAAAUCACUCAUCCACAUAAUACAGAGCACAGCUAAAAUGUAUGUUCAGUCUGAAUAAAAUGCCUCUAUCCCAUCAAGAUGUGCAUUUAUAGUUACAUAAGCACAGUGUGUGAUUUCCCAUGAAAUCCUCUUUCCCCUUAGUUGUUCCCAGAGAAGGGACCUACCUUGUUCUAGGAAGAUCAUUCUGUAGGGGAUGCUACCCUCUUUUAGAGGGGGAUGGUCUUGUGUAUUUAUCUGUUGCUAACAUUUGGAUGACUAAAACCGAAAGGUUCUCUUGCAAGUUCUGCUGCUACAUGUGACUAAAGCAGUCUCUAGUCGAAUGCACUUUGUGCCCGCGAAGGAGUUGGAGUGUUGUGGGCUACAAGCUGCAAGGGGAGGAAUGUUUGUGUCCAAAAUCUGUCAUCAGUUUCUC